UACGUAGGGUGCGAGCGUUGUCCGGAAUUAUUGGGCGUAAAGAGCUUGUAGGCGGUUUGUCGCGUCUGCUGUGAAAUUUCGGGGCUCAACCCCGAACUUGCAGUGGGUACGGGCAGGCUAGAGUGUGGUAGGGGAGACUGGAAUUCCUGGUGUAGCGGUGAAAUGCGCAGAUAUCAGGAGGAACACCGAUGGCGAAGGCAGGUCUCUGGGCAUUAACUGACGCUGAGGAGCGAAAGCAUGGGGAGCGAACAGG
Molecule: ribosomal RNA, 253 nt
Filed under: uncultured bacterium
Lineage: Bacteria
Description: partial 16S ribosomal RNA
Rfam family: Bacterial small subunit ribosomal RNA
Source: RNAcentral